CCAGACUCCUACGGGAGGCAGCAGUGAGGAAUAUUGGUCAAUGGGCUUACGCCUGAACCAGCCAAGUCGCGUGAGGGAAGACUGCCCUAUGGGUUGUAAACCUCUUUUGUCAGGGAGCAACGCCGGCUACGUGUAGCCGGACUGAGAGUACCUGAAGAAAAAGCAUCGGCUAACUCCGUGCCAGCAGCCGCGGUAAUACGUAGGUGGCGAGCGUUGUCCGGAAUAACUGGGCGUAAAGGGAGCGUAGGUGGUUGAUUAAGUUAAAUGUGAAAGCCCAGGGCUCAACUCUGGAACUGCAUUUAAUACUGGUCGGCUAGAGUACAGGAGGGGUAAACGGAAUUUCUAGUGUAGCGGUGAAAUGCGUAGAUAUUAGGAAGAACACCGGAGGCGAAGGCGGUUUACUGGACUGCAACUGACACUGAGGCUCGAAAGCGUGGGGAGCAAACAGGAUUAGAUACCCUAGUA
This 465-nucleotide ribosomal RNA is filed under the name uncultured bacterium. RNAcentral describes it as "bacterial SSU rRNA". It matches the Rfam family "Bacterial small subunit ribosomal RNA", at positions 331 to 792 of the family's 1533-position model. The record is from RNAcentral.